AGCGAACGCUGGCGGCAGGCUUAACACAUGCAAGUCGAGCGGGCGUAGCAAUACGUCAGCGGCAGACGGGUGAGUAACGCGUGGGAACAUACCUUUUGGUUCGGAACAACACAGGGAAACUUGUGCUAAUACCGGAUAAGCCCUUACGGGGAAAGAUUUAUCGCCGAAAGAUUGGCCCGCGUCUGAUUAGCUAGUUGGUGAGGUAAUGGCUCACCAAGGCGACGAUCAGUAGCNGGUCUGAGAGGAUGAUCAGCCACAUUGGGACUGAGACACGGCCCAAACUCCUACGGGAGGCAGCA
RNAcentral lists this ribosomal RNA (299 nucleotides) under uncultured bacterium. Its description in RNAcentral is "partial 16S ribosomal RNA". It matches the Rfam family "Bacterial small subunit ribosomal RNA", at positions 29 to 353 of the family's 1533-position model. The record is from RNAcentral.